This is an RNA transcript of Quercus lobata, 3512 nucleotides long. It is a transcript of the gene named putative F-box protein At3g16210, with no coding region annotated. The record is from RefSeq and is a predicted model, not a curated record. The transcript is spliced from 7 exons. NCBI's taxonomy places the organism in Eukaryota, Viridiplantae, Streptophyta, Magnoliopsida, Fagales, Fagaceae.
UCCACAUCUUAUAAUCAUGAUUUCAAACAUUUAGUUUGUGUGCCUGAAAACAAUCUUAAAAUGAGUCUUCUAAUUUCCAGUGGUUUCUAUUUCUAUUUUGUGUCAGAGUUUAAUUUCAAAUGUUUCCAAGCAACCACAUAAAAAGAAUGCUACUUGUUUAUUUAAUCAUUUGAAGACGGUUGAGAUAAGGAACUUCAUUGGCUGAGUGGUUGAGCUAGAAUUGGUCAAGUUUUUGCUUUAUAGUGGGAAGGUAUUGGAGAUGAUGGAUAUCAUUUAUUAAGAAUAUGAAGAAAAAGAUGAAGAGUAUUGAAAAAGUAUUGGCAUAUCCUAAAGCAUCUCUAUAUGUUGUUAUAUCAUCUCUACUUGUUGUUACUAAAGUUGCAUCUAUUAGAUUUUUGAUUGCUAUAACUGCUAUUCAUAAUUUAUUGAUACAUCGAAUGAAUGUAAAGACGGCAUUUUUACAUGGAGAUUUAGAAAAAGAAAUCUACAUGGACCAACCAGAUGGUUUUACAUGCUUGGUAAUGAACACAAGGUAUGUAAAUAAUUAAAAUCUUUAUAUAGAUUAAAAUAAGCACCUAGACAAUGGCUUGAGAAAUUUGAUCAAUGUUUACUUUCUAACGGUUUUGAAACAAAUAAAAGUGACAAGUGUAUACACUUGUCACUGAUUGUACUAUUGUGCAAUAUGCUAGUAUUAUUGAUAGUCUUAUAUAUGCUACUUAUUGUACCAGAUCCAAUAUUGCAUAUGCCGUAGGAGUUCUAGCAAGAUUUACUAGCAAACCUAAUUUUGAGAACUGCACACGGGCCCGUUUGUUACCGUUGUUUAAACAACAGUUUUCAAUGUUUAAACAACACUAGUCAUUAACCAGUGCGAUGCACUGGAAAAUUACCGAAAAUGAAAUAUAAUGAAUGCAAUGCAAUUAUGCAAAAUACCAUUUAAAUUAAAUGGCAAAUAUUAGUUAAUGUUGUUAUCGUUAGCUGUUUGUGUUAUGUUUAGAGUUUCAUAUCUAAGUUACUACAAUAUUACUUGUAGCAACUGAAACUCACAAUAUCUAUAUAUAUAUAAUAGCAGAAGCUGAGAGAAAGUUGAUUUCUACAAUUAAGGAGGUGGUGACAAAUAGGAUAAAUUCAGACACGUAUAACUUAAAAAAGCGAUAUAUUAUAUUGUUUGGUAACGUUCCAACACCGUUUAAGCAAUAAAUGAUAAUGUUUCACCAUGUUAAAACACUGUUUGGAGUCCUCUGGGUUUAAAAUGGAAACUAACCGCUAAAAAAAAAGAAAGAAAGAAAAGAAAAGAAAGAUUGCUACACGGAGAAAGGGGAGAGAGAGAUCGAAAGAAAAGAGAGAUAGAAAUAGAGAGACAGAGAUAGAGAGAAGGGCGCCACCCAGAUCUUCUGCCAUCACCAUUGGUAUUUUGGGUCAGAUUUGGUUUUGAUUAAGGGAUACGAAGAUAGAGGAACCAAGCAGAGUUCGUAGGCGCCAAGAGAGAGAAGAAAUAUUUAAGGCCGACCAUUGUCCGUUCCCUCGCCAGACUUGGGGCACCGGAACCGCAAGCAAGAAAAAGCUAUGGACCAUCAACACUGUUAGGCCAUAUAUCUGCCACCUAGAUCGUCGGAAUCAGAACUGCUAAACCCAACCAAAAGCCCAAUCAAUACACUGUUUUAAAUCCCGAUCAUGACACCCGUACAAGUGAACCAAAAAAAAAAAAAAAAAAACCCAAUAAAAGGGUUUAGGGAGAGAGAGAUAUGUAAUGUUGAAUUAUUAAACAGAGAGACAGGGAGAAAGAGAACGACAAAGAGAUUCGGUCAGGCAUAGAGAGUGGAAAGAGAAAAUCUAAGAAGACAGUCAGCCUCUGCCACCAUCAGAUCCCGUAUCCUCCACCGGUUAGUCUCUGUUUUUUGGUUCUUUAAAUUUGGGUUUAAAUAUGAUUUAGGUCUGGGUAUUUGGAUUGGGUUGGAUUGUAUUGGACUGCAUUCAAGUUUUGGUUUACAUUCAGUUUUGAGUAAGGAAUUUGGGUUAGAAUGGUUUUUAAUAUUAGUUAUCUGUGUUAGAUUUGGUUUUCUUUUGGAUAUUUAGGAUAAAUUCGUUUUGAGUAUAUGUUUUCGCUCUAAAUAGAAAUCUCUGGAGAUCUUCAUGAAUUAAUUUAAUGUUGAAGAACAUAGAUUUAUAUGUUGCCAAAAAAUAAAGCUCUGUCAUUUCAUUUAUGCUUUUAUUAAUUUUUUGUUGAAAUAUUUUCCCCUCUUUAUAUUUUUGCUUCCCAUGUUUCUUUUCAACCAUUGUUGUCAAGGUUUUUGCAGUAUAUAUUUAAAGUUUUCGUUUGCAAUUGCUCUGAUUUGAAAAAAUAAAACCCUAGAACACAAAGAAUAAGAAGGUAUUGAACAUUAAAACGCCUUUCUUCCACCACUAAUGCCAAUCUGCUUCAAGCAUUAUAUCUUUUUGUUUCAGAUCCAAAAUUAGAUCGUACCAUUCAUCCUUCCUGGCUAUGCUCAAGUUCAUUUUGGAAGGAGAGUUGCUGGGAAACAGGGACAACAGCAGCAUUGACACGAAGGAAUUCUUUUUUCUAUUUUUGGUAAAUCUUGGUCUUAGUUGAAGCUUCAAAGUCUGAGAAAGGCAGUUGGAUUGGUGUAUUAUUUCAAUGUAGGAAUCAAAGAGAUUGCAAUAUUUUCAGGGGCUGUUAGAGUUGGAAAGUGCAGAGGAAGACUACUGCUAUGUUGUGAUCUUUGAGGGUUCUCUCUAUUAGGCUUUCAAACAUGAAAAUGAAUGGUAUUAUAGUUAUGACAACUAGAAAAGUUAAGGAAGUAUUCAAUCUGACUCAGGAGCAUACUAGAGUGAGAUGACAAGACAAAAGGGUGCUGAACAACCUUGAGAAAACAUAUCAAUAAGAGUGGUGGAUUGGGUUCCAAUAACUUUCUUUUUGGGGACUUGAAUUUGAAGCAAAGAAAUAGAAAGAAAAUGUGUAAUGCAACUGUUAAAGAGAAAAGGUUAAAUAUGGAUGAUAGAAAAGGUUUAAGCAAAUGUGAAGAUGAGAGACAUACUUAGGUUUAUGGUGGCUGAUUGUUUCAACAAUUACAUGUUGGUGCACACGUGUAUUAAAGACAAUUGACUUAUGUGGGUGAGGUGUAACCAAUGUAUGUUACAAAGGCGAUUGCAGUUUCGAAAUUGAAGAGAGAAACAAAUUAGAGAAAAAGAUGUAAUUCUGGAUCCAAGUCUAUCCAAGUUGCGUGGGCAAAUAUAUCUGAUGUAUAGAUAUAGUUGCAUUCCUAGCUUAUUGUAGAGAAGAUUGAUACAAUUUAUAUUUACUAUGAUUGAUUGCACCAGUUUCAUUUAAUAUCUAUUGAUUGUAAUUAUUAGGAAACAUUGUCCAAGGCAUUAUGUGUAAUUAUUCUCAACUGAAAAUCCCUACCAAAAAAGCAUGUAGUAGUAUUGCUAUUUAUUCAGUCAGUACUCAAUCAUGUUAUGAUUUCAGAAUCAUAAUUGGAUUGGUCCAAGAAAGAAUCAUCAUUCAAUUGUGUUUU